UUUACGUUACACCUUGAAUGCAGCAUGCAACAGUGUCCUUACGAAAACAAAGAACAUGGCGUCGAUUGUGUGGGACUUCUUCAAAGUUUCCGAAGAAGACAGUUCGCUGGUUACUUGUAACAAAUGUUCCAAGCGAGUUCCACGAUGAGGGAGAACUAGCACGAGCUUUAAUACUUCGAAUCUGAUCAGCCACCUGAAACACAACCACCGCUUCGACGGAGUUUUGAAAGCCUAUGAGGACGCCCGGGCUGCUAAAGAUGCUAACGUUAGCAACGUAAAGCCACCUGCAAAGAAGCCACCGGGACUUAGACACAUCGGCGAGGCUUUCGAAAAAUCCAAGAGGUUUUCCAAAGAUGAUCCGCAGGCUAAAGCUAUUGAAGAUUUAAUCAUGGACAUGAUGGCGCUUGAUGACCAGCCCUUCACUCUCGUCGAGGACAGAGGCUUUUCCCGUCUGAUUAAUCACUUGGAGCCGCGGUUUACAUUGCCGAGCCGCCGCUACUUUUCUGAUGUGUGCCUUCCAGCUAAGUAUGAUGCGAUUGCCAAAUGUGUUCACACUUUGAUUGAUAACAACGUGAAAGACAUGAGCUUCACCAUGGAUAUAUGGACUUGUGAUGUCAGCCCUGUAAGCAUGAUGAGUCUGACCGCGCAGUGGAUAAAUACAGACUUUAAAAUGUACAGAGCGGUGUUGCACUCCCAGGAGCUGCCCGGAUCACACACAGGUAUAAUGAUUCAACAGACUUUUGAAGCUAUGCUACAGGAGGAGGGAGCCCCUGUACUAUCUGGCAACAAUAGUGGACCCGCGGUAUAAGGAUCGCUACUUCACCCUCGCAUCAAAACGGCAAGCAACAGGUAUGCUGCGGGAAAAGUUGCUGGAGAAUGAUGGUGCCACAGCUGCCACUCCCCAGCCAGGGGAGCCACCAGAGAAGAGGAGCAGGGGAGACGGAAACAACUCGUUGUUGGGAAUGUUUGAGGCAAUACUGGAAGAAAACAACGAAGCUGCCAUUCAUCAGGAAAACAGCAGAGUUGAUGCAGAACUCCAGUCAUAUCUGUCGGAGCCAACGCUUCACGUGAGCCGUUGCCCACUGGAAUACUGGAGGAGCAACCAGUCCCGCUUUGAGUGCAUGGCCCAGCUUGCUCUGAAAUAUCUGUCAGCACCUUGCACGAGCGUCGACAGCGAGCGUUUGUUUUCUGCUGCUGGACACGUGAUGACCGAGCAAAGAAACAGACUUGCAUGCGAAAAGGCAGAAAAGCUGCUUUUCAUUAAAAAAAAAUCUUCCCCUGAUCCAUCCAGAGGUGGAAGAGUAGAUAAGUAGUUCCCCUCUUAAAGGAACCAAAAGUUUGAGUGUUGAGAAUACAAUGUGAUAUCAGGUCAGAACAUGUGCCACCUUUUGAAAUAUUAAAGCUUGUAGCUAUUUCCCUCUUGUCUGAAGCUUUCAUAAGCUAAAAGAACAACUCAGCCUCAUUUACUUUAAUUAAUGGUAUUCAUUUGAAUGGAACCACAAGCCAAAAUCCUUUAAACUUAAUUUUUUGUUCCUAUGGAAUGCACUUUUUCAGUUUGUUUACAUAGAAAUGUUUGACUAUAACUUGUCAGUGCAUUAAUUUUCUAUGUAUAUAUAUAUAUUUUUGCACUUUUUCAGUUUGUAAUCCUGAUGCAUUUAUUUGCAUCAGUUCAAGGGGCCUUCAUUGUUCAUAUCAAUAAGUAAUGCACCUUACUUAAGUUGAUGUGAGAUAUCAAUAGAUUUGUUUGAUAGCCUUAAGAAAAUGUUUGAGAGGCUUGCUAAGAGUUUUUCUUUGGAAAAAAUAAAUAUCUCUUCAUUUAAAGACUCAAAA
Molecule: long non-coding RNA, 1830 nt
Organism: Acanthochromis polyacanthus (spiny chromis)
Lineage: Eukaryota; Metazoa; Chordata; Actinopteri; Pomacentridae
Exons: 2
Source: RefSeq, a predicted model, not a curated record